RNAcentral lists this small RNA (167 nucleotides) under Pan troglodytes (chimpanzee). RNAcentral describes it as "processed transcript". The record is from RNAcentral. Lineage: Eukaryota; Metazoa; Chordata; Mammalia; Primates; Hominidae.
GGCGAGGACCCAGUCCUGUCUCAGCCAGUGACAGUGAAUCUGGAGGGGAAUCCAGAGAAGCCCCAGUACCUUUUCGCCAUGAUGUCUUACUGGGCCACCCACCUCCUCUUUCAUGAUCCUCGCCACGGAGGAUCCUUUCCUCACGGUCCCUGGCCUGCCUGAGAGCA